Molecule: ribosomal RNA, 446 nt
Filed under: uncultured soil bacterium
Lineage: Bacteria
Description: bacterial SSU rRNA
Rfam family: Bacterial small subunit ribosomal RNA
Source: RNAcentral
AGAACGAACGCUGGCGGCAUGCCUAAUACAUGCAAGUCGAACGAACUCUUCGGAGUUAGUGGCGCACGGGUGCGUAACGCGUGGGAAUCUGCCCCUUGGUUCGGAAUAACAGUUGGAAACGACUGCUAAUACCGGAUGAUGACGAAAGUCCAAAGAUUUAUCGCCAAGGGAUGAGCCCGCGUAGGAUUAGCUAGUUGGUGAGGUAAAGGCUCACCAAGGCAACGAUCCUUAGCUGGUCUGAGAGGAUGAUCAGCCACACUGGGACUGAGACACGGCCCAGACUCCUACGGGAGGCAGCAGUAGGGAAUAUUGGACAAUGGGCGAAAGCCUGAUCCAGCAAUGCCGCGUGAGUGAUGAAGGCCUUAGGUUGUAAAGCUUCUUUACCCGAGAUGAUAAUGACAGUAUCGGAGAAUAAGCCCCGCUAACUCCGUGCCAGCAACGCCGAC